AGACUCCAGUAAAGGGGACACCAAGCUAACUGGGCCAGUAGAGGAAAACAAGAUGGCAGGGAAAGACGAGUCCAAGGAGGCAUCCUGGUACACCCAGUUUGUGGACAUCCCGGCAGACGUCAAAAGUGCUGGGAAUGACCAAGUGAAGGAGGUUGUAGUUGAGGUCUCGCUGAAUGGCAAGUCGCUGAAAAUAUUCACAAGGCAAGCAGAUCCACAGGGAAGUGCAACAAAUGUUGAUGUUCUGUUUCUUCAUGGACAAAGUUUCACUUCAGAAAACUGGUUGGAUAUCGGGACACUCAGCCUGGUGUCUAGUUGGGGCCAUAGAGGAGUGGCUGUUGACUUACCAGGCUAUGGAAGUACUAAAGAUGUUAUUGAUGAUGGCUCACAUGGAGCUUUCCUUGGGGCGUUAGUUAAGGCCCUGAAGAUGACCCGCCCAGUGGUGGUCAGCCCAUCAAUGAGUGGUGGCUUCUCCCUUCCCUUUCUGUUUGACCAGCCAGAGACAGCUGAAGACAGGAGUCGUGGAUACCUACCUGUUGCCCCGGUAGCCACAAGUAAAUAUACAGAAGCAUACAGUAAGAGCAAGAUUCCAACCAUGAUAGUUUAUGGUGAAAAUGAUACAAAUUUAGGAACACGUAGCCUAAAAGACCUGAUCAAACUUCCCAACAGCAAGCCAUUUGUCAUCCCUGAAGCCGGUCACGCAGCCUACAUGAACAACCCACCAUUCUUCCACAGACUGCUGUACAAUUUCCUAAAUAUUAUUGCUGCUUACAAGUGAACAUUAUUAUGAGGGAAUGUUCGUUUUUUGUUAGAGUCUGAGUUAACUAUGUGCUAUAAGGCUUGCUUCAUCAGGUAUACUUACACAGGCAUACCAACACAAGCUUACAUGCACUGGCAUAGAUACACAACCAUACUUACACAAGCUUACAUGCACUUCCAUAGAUACACAACCAUACUUACACACGCAUCCUGCACAGGCACACUUAUGAAAGGGUUAUGUACACAGGAAUACUUACAGAGGCAUACUUGAACAGGCUUACCUGCACAGGCAUAAUUACAGGUACACCGAUAUACUUAGCAGUCUUAUACUCAAGUCUUUUGCACUUCAGUUACAGAGGUUAGCAGACAUGGCAAGAGGUAUUUGUUUUUACCAUGAUGUUUGUUUUCAGGCUGGCAUGAUUGUAUAUUAGGUUUUUUGUUCACUUUUGUAAUCGGUUGAUACAAUAGAAGGUUGAGCAAGUUGUGUGUUUUGUUGAUGUGUACUGAGAAAUGUGUUUGGGCAGGAAAUCAGGAAGUCCAUAUAAUGGCUGGGUUGUAUGGAAACUACUAAUGUAUUCGGAUUUCAGACUUGUGUGUUUCUAAUGUUUUUUCUGUUAUGCUAUCACUUUAAUCACCAUUAAUUAUCACAAUUUGUCAGUUCAUAUUGUUUUAAGAUGUACAUUAUGAUACUGUUGUAUAUUUUAUUUAGUGUUUCAUAAGUUCACAUAUGUGUGCAAAUUAUGAUUUUCUUGUAGUGGGAUGUAAGAGUGCCUUGUGUUUAGUGAGUGUACUGUCCUGCAUAAUGGCUGACUUGAGGUGACUCCUUGUGCAGACCUACUGUAACAUAGGUACGUCGCCCGCAAGAUGUUUGUCUUCUCAACAGUGUGAUCUCGAUGUGCCUACAAAUUACAGUAACCAUGGUAACGUGAUCAUGGUCUUGUUAAUGUCCUUGUUAGCAAGGAUCCCCCCCCACCCCCUUGUCCUGUGCCGAUGUUUGUAUUCUGGGCUUUACAUGCAUCAUUGUGGGAUAAGAUAUUAAAAACACAUUACAUCAUUUUACAUUACAAAUUACAUGACUUAUUUCAAUUAAACAAGUUCAAAUUCUGCCAGGCACAUUUUGUAUGCUUUAGGGUAUUAUAUUCGGGGUUUUUUUUACUUUCCUCAUUAUCUCAGUGGUCUACUGGAGAUAGAGCACCUGUUAUCAUGAUUAUGAAGAAUUUUCAGUUAUCAAUUAAUGUAUAUAAUCACAA
This 2006-nucleotide unclassified non-coding RNA is filed under the name Haliotis rubra (blacklip abalone). Its description in RNAcentral is "protein ABHD14B-like, transcript variant X1". Lineage: Eukaryota; Metazoa; Mollusca; Gastropoda; Lepetellida; Haliotidae. The record is from RNAcentral.